AUGAUGGAGGGUGAUGUAAUGGACUUCCUCAUUGAUGAUUGGAAGCAAGAUCCUGAGAGAAAUGCUGAUUUCGCAUCUGGAAAAAGGGUAUUGUUGAGUCCAUAUUUCAUCACGGUUGUGCUUGACUGUACGUUUUACGGUGAUGAAAAUAAAGUGUUUAAUGUUGAGAGUGCAGCGAGAGAUUUCAAGAGCUAUGUUAAAGAUAAGGAAGACUUGCUCAGUGCCGACCUUAUCAUGAUGCCUCUAUUCAAGACUAUGAUUUUAGCAAAGGAUAAGAAAGUGAACCACUUUUCCUUAUAUGUCAUGAAUCGAUACCGAAGUAGCGUUGACAUCCUUGACUCUUUACCUUAUCCGAAGAACCACCGUCCUUCAAAGAACACAUAUCAUAAAGACUGCGAGAAGAUUUACAAUGCGAGCAAGCAGCCCAAAUGGGAGCUUUUUACAAAGAAACCAAUGUUUGUCAAGGUUCCACUUCAAGGGCCGAAUGAAUGUGGCCAUUAUACUCUGAAGUAUGCGGGAUCCUAUGAUGGUGAAAAGAUCGUUGAGAACAUUCGAGAUAAUGACCCACGUAUUGUUGAUUGGAAUGUUGAGGAUCUGUAUAGAGUUGUGUUCAACCGGAAUAGCCAGCUUGUGGUGAUGGAGCUUCCCAAGGAGGUUCAGGCUUUGGCUCAUGAUGCAUAG
This 681-nucleotide ribosomal RNA is filed under the name Triticum aestivum (bread wheat). Its description in RNAcentral is "partial small subunit ribosomal RNA". Lineage: Eukaryota; Viridiplantae; Streptophyta; Magnoliopsida; Poales; Poaceae. The record is from RNAcentral.